UAGGGAAUCUUCGGCAAUGGGGGGAACCCUGACCGAGCAACGCCGCGUGAGUGAAGAAGGUUUUCGGAUCGUAAAGCUCUGUUGUUAAGGAAGAACGAGUGUGAGAAUGGAAAGUUCAUACUGUGACGGUACUUAACCAGAAAGGGACGGCUAACUACGUGCCAGCAGCCGCGGUAAUACGUAGGUCCCGAGCGUUGUCCGGAUUUAUUGGGCGUAAAGCGAGCGCAGGCGGUCAAUUAAGUCUGAUGUGAAAGCCCCCGGCUCAACCGGGGAGGGUCAUUGGAAACUGGUUGACUUGAGUGCAGAAGAGGAAAGUGGAAUUCCCAGUGUAACGGUGAAAUGCGUAGAUAUUGGGAGGAACACCAGUAGCGAAGGCGGCUUUCUGGACUGCAACUGACACUGAGGCACGAAAGCGUGGGUAGCAAACAGG
This 430-nucleotide ribosomal RNA is filed under the name Bacteroidota bacterium. RNAcentral describes it as "Bacteroidetes bacterium partial 16S ribosomal RNA". It matches the Rfam family "Bacterial small subunit ribosomal RNA", at positions 355 to 776 of the family's 1533-position model. The record is from RNAcentral. Lineage: Bacteria; Pseudomonadati; Bacteroidota.